CUCUCGCAUAGUCAAGGGUCACUUUGCCAAAUAAUUGAAAGCCUAUACAGUAUCUCCCCUCUCGAAGUAGAUUCAUUAUUGCAACAAUAGGAAUAUAUAUCAGACCUAACUUAUAAUUCUAGCAUGAAAAAUCAAUCAAAGGAAACAGUUGAAAUACAAGAUAAUCAAACUAAUCUAUCAAUCCCUCGUUGCAUACACAGAUCUCCACAAUUCUAGAUAUAGGACUACUCACUCAUAAUCAUGAAAACAAUAACAAAAUCAUAUAAAAACUCAUACUUUGAAACAUGGCAAAUAACUAAGAAAAUAAUCUAAUUAACAAUGGAAGAAAUAACAAAGAAAUAAUGAAGAAAGAUUACCGAAUUAUAUUGAACUAUGAAUAAGCAAAAGGUUUGAUCUUGAAUUGAAAUCACAAAGCACUAAAAUUAAGGUACUUGAAAUCCUAUCUAGAUAAAACUAAUAAUAAAAACCAAGAUGAUUCUAAUAAUUUUGAUUUUCCUAUUUAUACAAGCCCUAAAACAAUAACCAAAAGUCUCGAAAAAUGGGCCCGUAUUCAUUAAAAAAUGCGUGUCGUUAGUCGCCCGAUGGGGCCAGAGAUGUCCGAUGGAAUCGGGCUCCAAAGCAGAGGAAAGGGCCGAAAAUCCACGGGCGCCCGAUGACAUCGGGCGGCCUGUUAACAUAGUAUUACGCAGCAGCUGGCAGGGGCGCCCGACGUCGGGCCAGGUCGCCCCAUCGGGCGGAAGACCGAAUCACGACUGGGCGUCCGACGCCCGAUCGGACCCGCAACAGAAACAUGGAACCUGCUUCUUCGCCCGAUCAGGCUGGGCCGCCCGAUCCUUUCGAGCCGGUCAGGUUAUGCGCGUUCCUUGUUCUUUCUUUGCUCAAAGUCCCGGAAAGCAUCGUCGGAAUCUUGAAACUCAGCGUCCAACCUCUCUAAUCCAGUGUGCAAUCAUAUAAAGUAGGUAAUAGCUCCCCAAAACCUACAAUCUAAUACAAAACAGCAAACCACAACUAGAUGGAGAGAGUUAGUACCAAAUGGCUCCUAAGAGCACCAUAACCACAACUUUUGGCAUAUAAAUAGGGGAGAAAAACUCUAUAUAAAAUCAUAACAUCAAGUACCAUGCGACUUUCUUAAAAUAAUCCAUGAGGACCAUACACCUCAGACAACAUCCAUUCAACAUAAUCCAAUUUGUAUAAAGGAUCGAGCACCACAACAAUAAAGACCAAUAUUAAAACAAUAAGAGUUUGAUAUAGAUCUUAGUUAGCAAUUCGUUAAUUAAUCCAAAAAAAUUAUUGUGCUUCUUCGACAUACAUAUAUACAAUAAACUGUAGCAAAAGCUCACAAUUUUGUCUUCCAUUGAAAGCUCGAACAUGAUUCCAAGAAGCUCGACCUACUUUAGCAAACUAGCAAUUUUGUCCUCAAUUUGAAGCUUGGACGAGAUUCAAAGUUCUCCCUUGAAGCUCGAAGUACAUUUAGAGAGUGAGGUCGCAAAGUUUAUCGCCCAAGAAGAUCCAGAGUUUCAACAUUAUUCUGGUAGAGAAUGGGAACUUGGUUUUACCUAUUCCUUCCCUGUAAUACAAACAUCCAUUUACUCUAGAACUUUGAUCACUUGGGCAGAAGCAAGGCUUCUCGAUAGAUGAUAUGGGAUUAACUGGAGAAGGAGCAGUGAAGCGAUUGCGACUGUCAAGGGCUCUUACAGUUUCGGACAGCACAAAUAUCUAUGAUGCUUGUCACAUAAUGGCUGCUCGCAGAGUAGAUGCCUUAUUGCUAACUUAUUCCAAUGCUUUACUUUGGGAUUCUUACUGACAAGGAAGAUUUAGACAUCUACUAGUUGUGGAAAAUAGAGAGGUUGUUGCUUUACUUGACAUAACAAAGUGCUUAUAUGACGCCAUUGUGUAAUGGACCCUUACACUCAUAGACUAAACCUCCUUCUUAAGGGAAAGGUUAGCAAUAAAUGAGUAAUUUUAUAAGAGAAAAUAUUAUGAGCAGAAGAUAGUGAAUUCUUGUAUUACUG
This is a long non-coding RNA of Beta vulgaris subsp. vulgaris (sugar beet), 2012 nucleotides long. RefSeq lists it as uncharacterized. The transcript is spliced from 4 exons. NCBI's taxonomy places the organism in Eukaryota, Viridiplantae, Streptophyta, Magnoliopsida, Caryophyllales, Amaranthaceae. The record is from RefSeq and is a predicted model, not a curated record.